AAAUCCCGCAGUGGGUUUCCCCCUCGGUGGGUGGGGUGUGGGAUUAGACCUCUGGCGCUGGUGAAUCACCAAAAUAUCCC
RNAcentral lists this non-coding RNA (80 nucleotides) under Trieres chinensis. Lineage: Eukaryota; Bacillariophyta; Thalassiosirophyceae; Eupodiscales; Parodontellaceae. The record is from RNAcentral.